GAGAACCCUGGCUCGCCUUUCUGUGAAUUCAAAGAAAUUUGCGGCGGUGGUAGUGGCGUUCGUGUCGGAUUGAUCCUCACCCUUAUUGGAGCUCUCCUCGUGAUCGUAGUUCUACUCGUCUUCUUCUGUGUUACAAAGAGGCUGCUGCCGUCUUAGUGUCUUCUUCGUCUCACUGGGGAAAUUUUUUUUUUUUUUGUAUGGAAAGUUACUGUGUUAAAUUUUGGUAAUAAAAACGUCACUAUUUUGCAUUGUUAUAUGAACUCGGUUUCUAGUUAAAUUUUUGUUAAUAGUUUAUCAAUUAUCAAAUGGCAAAUGACGCUCUUUGGUUCAUUGAUUGUAUGGUUUGUAUUACU
This 353-nucleotide long non-coding RNA is filed under the name Brassica rapa (field mustard). RNAcentral's name for it is "long non-coding RNA (BRAP_LNC001624)". The record is from RNAcentral. Lineage: Eukaryota; Viridiplantae; Streptophyta; Magnoliopsida; Brassicales; Brassicaceae.